CAGUAGCCGCGGUAAUACAGAGGGUGCAAGCGUUAAUCGGAAUUACUGGGCGUAAAGCGCGCGUAGGUGGUUUGUUAAGUUGGAUGUGAAAGCCCCGGGCUCAACCUGGGAACUGCAUCCAAAACUGGCAAGCUAGAGUACGGUAGAGGGUGGUGGAAUUUCCUGUGUAGCGGUGAAAUGCGUAGAUAUAGGAAGGAACACCAGUGGCGAAGGCGACCACCUGGACUGAUACUGACACUGAGGUGCGAAAGCGUGGGGAGCAAACAGGAUUAGAUACCCCCGUAGCCCUGUCUCUUAUACA
RNAcentral lists this ribosomal RNA (301 nucleotides) under uncultured bacterium. RNAcentral's name for it is "partial 16S ribosomal RNA". It matches the Rfam family "Bacterial small subunit ribosomal RNA", at positions 509 to 809 of the family's 1533-position model. The record is from RNAcentral.